UACGGACUUAAAAUCCGUUGGUUUUAAUAGACCUUGAGGGUUCAAGUCCCUCUACCCCCA
This 60-nucleotide transfer RNA is filed under the name Frullanoides corticalis. Its description in RNAcentral is "partial transfer RNA-Leu". It matches the Rfam family "tRNA", at positions 25 to 71 of the family's 71-position model. From Rfam's summary of the family: Transfer RNA (tRNA) molecules are approximately 80 nucleotides in length. The record is from RNAcentral. Lineage: Eukaryota; Viridiplantae; Streptophyta; Jungermanniopsida; Porellales; Lejeuneaceae.